Molecule: ribosomal RNA, 443 nt
Filed under: uncultured bacterium
Lineage: Bacteria
Description: partial 16S ribosomal RNA
Rfam family: Bacterial small subunit ribosomal RNA
Source: RNAcentral
CCUACGGGAGGCAGCAGUGGGGAAUAUUGGACAAUGGGGGGAACCCUGAUCCAGCGACGCCGCGUGAGUGAAGAAGUAUUUCGGUAUGUAAAGCUCUAUCAGCAGGGAAGAAAGAAAUGACGGUACCUGACUAAGAAGCCCCGGCUAACUACGUGCCAGCAGCCGCGGUAAUACGUAGGGGGCAAGCGUUAUCCGGAUUUACUGGGUGGAAAGGGGGCGUAGACGGCGAUGCAAGUCUGAAGUGAAAGGCGGGGGCCCAACCCCUGGACUGCUUUGGAAACUGUAUGGCUGGAGUGCAGGAGAGGUAAGUGGAAUUCCUAGUGUAGCGGUGAAAUGCGUAGAUAUUAGGAGGAACACCAGUGGCGAAGGCGGCUUACUGGACUGUAACUGACGUUGAGGCUCGAAAGCGUGGGGAGCAAACAGGAUUAGAUACCCUUGUAGUC